GCUGGGUAAAGCAGGGGCUGGGCAGGUUGCAUGGUAUAGAGCUGGGUAAAGCAGGGGCUGGGGCUGGUUGCGUGUUAUAAGGCUGGGUAAUACAGGGGCUGGGGCUGGUUGCGUGGUAUAGAGCUGGGUAAAGCAGGGGCUGGUUGCAUGGUAUAGAGCUGGGUAAAGCAGGGGCUGGGGCUGGUUGCGUGGUAUAGAGCUGGGUAAAACAGGGGCUGGGGCUGGUUGUGUGUUAUAGAGCUGGGUAAUACAGGGGCUGGGGCUGGUUGCGUGUUAUAGAGCUGGGUAAUACAGGGGCUGGUUGCAUGGUAUAGAGCUGGGUAAUACAGGGGCUGGUUGUGUGGUAUAGAGCUGGGUGAAGCAGGGGCUGGUUGUGUGGUAUAGAGCUGGGUAAUACAGGGGCUGGUUGUGUGGUAUAGAGCUGGGUGAAGCAGGUGCUGGGGCUGGUUGCGUGUUAUAGAGCUGGGUGAAGCAGGGGCUGGGGCUGGUUGCAUGGUAUAGAGCUGGGUAAUACAGGGGCUGGUUGUGUGGUAUAGAGCUGGGUAAUACAGGGGCUGGUUGCGUGGUAUAGAGCUGCGUAAAGCAGGGGCUGGGGCUGGUUGCGUGGUAUAGAGCUGGGUAAUACAGGGACUGGUUGCGUGGUAUAGAGCUGCCAGGUGCUGGGGCUGGUUGCGUGUUAUAGAGCUGGGUAAAGCAGGGGCUGGGGCUGGUUGCAUGGUAUAGAGCUGGGUAAUACAGGGGCUGGUUGUGUGGUAUAGAGCUGGGUAAUACAGGGACUGGUUGCGUGGUAUAGAGCUGGGUAAUACAGGGGCUGGUUGCGUGGUAUAGAGCUGGGUAAUACAGGGGCUGGUUGCAUGGUAUAGAGCGGUGUAAUACAGGGGCUGGUUGCGUGUUAUAGAGCUGGGUAAAGCAGGGGCUGGGGCUGGUUGCGUGGUAUAGAGCUGGGUAAUACAGGGGCUGGUUGCGUGGUAUAGAGCUGUGUAAUACAGAGGCUGGUUGCGUGGUAUAGAGCUGUGUAAUACAGGGGCUGGUUGCGUGGUAUAGAGCUGGGUAAAGCAGGGGCUGGUUGUGUGGUAUAGAGCUGGGUAAUACAGGGGCUGGUUGUGUGGUAUAGAGCUGGGUAAUACAGGGGCUGGUUGUGUGGUAUAGAGCUGGGUAAUACAGGGGCUGGUUGUGUGGUAUAGAGCUGGGUAAAGCAGGGGCUAGUUGUGUGGUAUAGAGCUGGGUAAUACAGGGGCUGGGGCUGGCUGGGUAAUACAGGGGCUGGGGCAUGCGUGUUAUAGAGAUGUGUAAUACAGGGGCUGGUUGCAUGGUAUAGAGCUGGGUAAUACAGGGGCUGGUUGUGUGGUAUAGAGCUGGGUAAUACAGGGGCUGGUUGUGUGGUAUAGAGCUGGGUAAUACAGGGGCUGGUUGCGUG
Oncorhynchus tshawytscha (Chinook salmon) is the source of this 1417-nucleotide long non-coding RNA. NCBI's taxonomy places the organism in Eukaryota, Metazoa, Chordata, Actinopteri, Salmoniformes, Salmonidae. The record is from Ensembl.